Long non-coding RNA from Symphalangus syndactylus (siamang), 4855 nucleotides. RefSeq lists it as uncharacterized. The record is from RefSeq and is a predicted model, not a curated record. NCBI's taxonomy places the organism in Eukaryota, Metazoa, Chordata, Mammalia, Primates, Hylobatidae.
CAGACAUCGAUAAGCAAGCUGGAAGCUUGCACGGGUGAAUGCCAGCAGUUGUGCCGACAGGAAAAGGCUACCUGGGACUAGGCAUGUUCAAAAUAGUGGCUCCAUCUUCCCUUCUCUUUGCCAAACCAUGUGUACAGUAAGGAGCAGACAAUAUGGCCCCUGCCAGGCAAAGACUCCAUUUACAUAAUAAUAUUAGGGUGGGGCAACCAGCCUUUCCCUCUGCACUAUGUAAACAUCACGCCUGGUUGAACCAAUCUGUGAGUCUUACGUAAAUCAGACACCACCUCCUUAAGCCUGCCUAUAAAUUCUGGUGCAGUCCACCAAGGGGUGUUUUUUUUCCCUUUUGGGAGCUCCUCUCUCUCACAAGGGAGAGAACUGGUCUCCUUUCUCUUUCUUUUGCCUAUUAAACCUCUGCUCCUAAACUCACUCCUCGUGUGGUCUGUGUCCUUAAUCUUCUUGGCACAAGAUGAUGAACCCUGGGUAUUUACCCCAGAUAAUGAUGCUGCUUCACUUACGCCAAACAAAAAAAGCACCAAAUGUCCAUAUGGACCAUCUAAGCAUUCAAGACCAUCAGUGAUUCUCUUAAAAAAGAUUUGAGGACUCAUGGGUUUCCUCCCUCUCUAAUAUUGCUGUAGAUGUGGCUCAACUGAUCAGUUCUAACUAGAGGAACCUCAAGCAAUCACUCCACAUACGUUUUUUCAGUUUCCAAAACCUAAGGGAGUUUUGUGGGAGGAGAGCAUAACCAAAUGGAACAUGGACCUUGAGCCUAACAGAAACGGUUUAGACUCUUCGAUCUGCCAGCUGUGAGAGACCUUCGGCAUUAUUACUUCUAUUACUUCUAUUUUAUGGAUGGAGAAACUGAGACUUAGAGAGUUGGUCAAUCAGGACUCAACAAUACCAACCUCACCAACAUCAGUAGGACUACCUCUAUCAUCAGUAUCAUCAUCACCACCCUCAGUAACAUUCCUACCAAAAACUACCAUCGUGGCUCCUAACCAGCACCACUUCCACAGACACUGCCAUCAUCGCUACCUUCCUUUAAUUCAGCAGUUAUUUACUGAGCAGUUAUUUACUCAGUUAUGCACUGAAGAUAUCCAAGCACUGUGCUAGUGAAACCAGCCCAAUUGCUCCAUAGAAAUAAUGUUUAUGGGUUUUUUGAAUAUAGAAAUUUACUCUCUUGAUCUUAAAAUUUGAAACUUUUAUUUGCCCCAUCUGAAUUCUCUUCUCAGGAAACUGACCCUCAGGCAAGGGACUGAAACUCAUCAGAUCACCACAUCCAGAUAAUGAGAGCUCAGACCCCUCAUUCAUCAUGAUUGCUUCCUUACCACUCCCGAAUUCCUUCCUGCUUGUAGCUACGUUCCUUCUCUGCUAUAUAAACCCCCAAUUUUAGUCAGGCAGGUUUGAGAUUCAUCUCCUGUCUCCCUCACUGCAGCACCCAGAUAAAGCCUUCUUACCUGACACCUCUCGUCUCAGGGCCUAGCUCUCCAUGCAUCAAGCAACAGGACCAAGACCAAAGCCCUGGCAUUUUGGUAACAUUAGGCCCUAAGAAUAUCAAGAAGAUAAUACCAGGAUUUUUGCCUUGAAGGACAAUACUAUAGGAACUUAGAAACUUAUAUAAAUGGCAAUUAUAAAAAUGCAGAGAGGUAUAUGCCAUAGGAGGUAUAUAAAUACGUGAUCCGCUCACCUCAGCCUCCCAAAGUGCUGGGAUUACAGGCAUGAGACACCGCGCCUGGCCACAUUUCCACUCUGAUCAUCUUCCUCUUCCUCUCUCUUUCUUUCUUUUUCUUUUCUUCUUCUCCUCCUUUUCCUCCUUCUCCUUCAUUGGGCUGAUUGUGUCUAAUGUCAAAAUAAAUGGAUGAUGUAACCUUGGCCUUCUUUCAAAUAUGACAAAGUUGUUCUUUAUUUUAAUAUGUAAAACUUCAUAAUCAGUUGCAAAUUACAAACACCAGACAGAAUUUGGCUAAACAGAAAAACUCAGAACACUUAAUAAUCCCCUAUUUUUUUUUUUUUUUUUAUUGCAGGGAUCGGGGGAAUGUGAGAGAAAAAAAUAGAGAGAGGGGGAGAUAGAAAUAAUCUUCAUUGCAAAAUAUAAUUUUAAAAUGUUUAUCAUGAAGAAUAAGCAAUGCUAAUUUUCUUUUACAUUUUAAGAAAUGAGCUUUUAGAAGCAGGGUCAUUUCCCACUUCUUUAAGUACAGAGUUACUGUACAUUCUUACUUGCUCCUGGACUUCUAAUGUGAUAUCAUCAUUUCCUCAUAUUACCACCAUUGCAAUAAUGUUCUUUUGCCCACACCUUGCCAACUCUACAAUUCAACUAUAACAAGAUACAUAAAAGGAUCAUAUGCUUGAAAUAUUCCUUAAACCUGUCUAGCACCAUCAAACUGCAAUGAUAUAUUCUUGUCCAAAAGUCUUUUAAAUUCAGGUAGAAGAGAGAGGUAAGAUUUUCUUAUGAUUUUUCUAGUGAACCUAGCCCUACUUUGAUGAAGAGUGUUCUAGUUAUCUAUUACUAUAUUCAAAUUAUUUUUAAAACUCAGUGACUUAAAAAGUAACCAUUUCAAGAUAUCUCUUUUGUGUGCAUAAACAUUUUAAGAUGGAUCUAGAAUUAAUUUCUUUUUCCUUUUCACCUUAACUACAGUGGCCACAGAUGCUCUACUGGGUGCAUCUAGAAUUUAGGUAGAGCUUGGCUGCUUUCUUCUUGUGUUCCAAGGAACAUCAAGCAAGGUAACUCAGUGGUACUCAGCUUGCAUUCAGUGGUACUCAGCUUGCAGGUGGGCUGAUCUGAGGGUUCCAAGGUGGCUUCACUCACACAUCUGGUGCCUUUUUCAUAAUGGAUAGCACAGCUGAAGGCUGGUCAAGCAUUUAUUUCAUCUUGUAUCUACUCUACAUGGCUGGCAUGGACUUUUUGACAGCAUGAAUUCCAGUGGCUGGGAUUCGAAAGUGUUCCAAGAAAAAUCAUUCAUUCCAAGAAACCCAGUUAACAAAGAGAACAUAUAUUCUAAGAAACCCAGGAAGAAGUUUUAAGGCUUCUGGUGACCUAGUCUUGGAAAUCCCAGAAUGUCACUUCGGCUGCAUUCUGUUGAUCAGUCAUGUCCCCAAGACCAACCCAGGUUUAAAAAAAAAGGUUCAGACUCUUUUUUGGGAGGUUACAUGUGGUAAUUUAAUACAUUUAUAUAAUUUGUAAAGAUCAAAUCAGUAUACUUAGGAUGUCCAUCACCUUAAAUAUUUAUCCUUUCUUUGUGCUAGAUAUACAGACUGCCCCUCUUGAUGAAAGAAAUAGCAAGGGAUCUGUGGCCAUCUUUAAUAUAUUAUAGAAGGAAUAGCAAGAACAAAGUUGAGAAAUGAGGAAAAAAAGAUGCAUUCUUGUCAGAGAACUGAGUCAUAAAGUUGGGAUGGAUUAUCGAGUUCAUGGGAUUUAAAUCUAGAAAGGUAAAAGAAGAGGCUUAAGAGACAAGAUUGAGAACUCUGUACUUAAAGAAGUGGGAAAUGGGAGAACUGAUAAAAGGAUGUGAGUGAUCAGAUCAGAGAAGAUGUGGGUAUUGGUGAGAGGGUUGCCGAAUGGUGGGGAUGGGGAAUGGGUUGGAGGUAGGAGACACUGUAAAUAAGUAGGAAAGCCCACCGAAGGAGAGGCAACUGGAAAAGUCUUGGGGAGAACUUGCCCAGGUCCAAACCAUAUGUUGCUGAAGUAAGAAAGGAACAGACAGAGAAUUUCCAAGAUGUAUAUAUCAUUAUCAUCUAUAGUGUUGGUCAUUAUGAGAUACUCUCCUAGUGGCAUGCAGAGUGUAGGAGGAUAGGUAGUAAAUGAAUGAAAUUCUGACUUACAAUGGCUUGCAAAUAUUAAUAACAGGGAAUGUAUUGGCUCACGUAAAUUAAAAGUCCAAUGUUGCAUCCAACUUUAAACAUUUGAUUCAGUUGAAUAAUGCCACUAGGAUUAUCUCUUGUCUCUGACUCCUCUGUGUGAUGACAUUAUUCCUUAGCUAUUUCUUCUAAUGUUGACAAAAUAUCUGAAAUAAGUAUAAACCUCACAUCUUCACACCAUCAAAUCCUGUGUAAAACAGUAUUCUUCUCUCUCUUAGAAACUCUAGCAGAUGAUUCUUUGUGUUUAAUUGGCUAAGAUUGGGUUUUAGAAUUCAGUUCAGUGUAACCUUUCUCUCCCAUCAGUUGCUCUAUGCCCUAAGUUUUACAGGGGCAGGCAUCAGUGUGGGUUUACCAGAGCUGCCUAUGACAAGAAGAGUAUGUCCCUCUAACUCUGGAACUCAGUAUUGGGAAGCCUGUGGCAUAUUUUAUUUUCUGAAGAUGGUUCCAACAAUACCACCCGUCUCACAGACUCUUUAGAACCUUAUCAUUCUUCCGUCAAGUAAUGGAGUCUCUUUCUCGACUUUCACUGGCUGAGGGCAAACAAGAAAAAGAAAAAUAAUAAUAAAUAAAUAAAUGUAGUCUCUUUUCCCUAACCUUGAAUCUAGGCAGUAGAGUAUGUGACAAUUUUGAUCUAUAGAGUAUGGCAAAAGUGAUAAUAUUGUUACUUCCAAGACUACGGCAUAAAAAUGGUAUGCACAUCCUCCUUAUUCUCUUGGAAUGUUUGCUCUUGUAAUAUUGCUCUAGGUUGCAAGAAAGCUCAAGUAGCCCACGGAGAGGAUGCAAGGCUUCCAGCUGAUCCCCUCAGCUAGGCUCAGUAGCAGCCAGAACUAGCCUACCAACAAACCUGCUGAUCAUGUGCGUAAGCCACCUUGAACAUCGAUCCUCCUGCCUGAUGGAGCCAUCCCAGCUGAUGCCACAUGAAGCAGACACAAGCUGUCCCUACUAAGCUCUGCCCAAGUUGGAUAUUCAUGAGUGAAAUAAAUGACUGUUGCUAAGUAAUUAA